Molecule: ribosomal RNA, 496 nt
Filed under: uncultured bacterium
Lineage: Bacteria
Description: partial 16S ribosomal RNA
Rfam family: Bacterial small subunit ribosomal RNA
Source: RNAcentral
AUGAACGCUGGCGGCGUGCCUAAUACGUGCAAGUCGAGCGAACGGACGAGAAGCUUGCUUCUCUGAUGUUAGCGGCGGACGGGUGAGUAACACGUGGAUAACCUACCUAUAAGACUGGGAUAACUUCGGGAAACCGUAGCUAAUACCGGAUAAUAUUUUGAACCGCAUGGUUCAAAAGUGAAAGACGGUCUUGCUGUCACUUAUAGAUGGAUCCGCGCUGCAUUAGCUAGUUGGUAAGGUAACGGCUUACCAAGGCAACGAUGCAUAGCCGACCUGAGAGGGUGAUCGGCCACACUGGAACUGAGACACGGUCCAGACUCCUACGGGAGGCAGCAGUAGGGAAUCUUCCGCAAUGGGCGAAAGCCUGACGGAGCAACGCCGCGUGAGUGAUGAAGGUCUUCGGAUCGUAAAACUCUGUUAUUAGGGAAGAACAUAUGUGUAAGUAACUGUGCACAUCUUGACGGUACCUAAUCAGAAAGCCACGGCUAACUACGUG